Haplochromis burtoni (Burton's mouthbrooder) is the source of this 1858-nucleotide long non-coding RNA. RefSeq lists it as uncharacterized. The record is from RefSeq and is a predicted model, not a curated record. NCBI's taxonomy places the organism in Eukaryota, Metazoa, Chordata, Actinopteri, Cichliformes, Cichlidae. The transcript has 3 exons.
UGUCUUGUUUACAGUUUAAUUGGUGGAUCUGUGGGUGUGUCUUUGGAGCUUCAACGUGCCAGCUCAGUCUUUAAAUUGUUAGUUUGUCACCUGCAAAUUAAUUUUGGUUCUAGGACAUUUAUUGUCACCUAGUUAAUAUUUGAAGAAACCCAUAACUGCACUCUGUUUAAAAGCUGAUUUCUAUGUCAUGUGAACUAGUCACAUGAACUCCUGUUAACUUCAUUUGUUGAUGCUGAACUGCAGACGCACACUUUGACUCAUAUCGAUACACUUUAUUGGUAUUCUUUCCACUAUUAUCGAGCGGCUUUAUAUAAUAUUCUUUGUACUACUGUACAUGUAUGUGUGUCUUUACUUGUGUAGAGUUACUUGUGGCUCCAGUUGUCCUCGUGCUCAUGUUGGUUGUGUCAUUUCUUUCUCACCUUCUCUCAGGCUUACUUCUGCACCCUGAUGCUCCUCAAUCAGCUCUAAUGGAUCUUCUGGCUCAGAUUCAGCUCGAGAACUGAUUGUGAUACAAGACACUCCAAUACGCACGCAUAAAGCACACGUAGGCCAGGGCGGAGCUGCGGGCAGAUAUACGUCACGAUGAGCUCAGAGGGAAAGCGGGACCUUGAUUCCAAGAAUUCCUGCUUAUCUCUUCAGGUUGGUCUGGGAAAAUGAGCUCACAAAGAAAUCAGAGAAGACAGCUGAAGCAGAUAAAGUGCAGUGAAGGAAAAGUGUCUUAAGACUUUUAUAAAUGAAGGAAAUUUCCACCGGCUGCUGUUGAUGACAGUCCUCUGCAGAAAACCCUCCCCCAACAAUCUCCUCCUCCCGUAAAGGCCUGGAUAAAUGGAUUGACUUUUGGACAAGUGACAGUUCCCCCCCCCAUAAUUGUUAAUUAUCAUGAGUGCUCUCUGAGGUACUUUCUAUGAAUGGAGAUGGAACUCGCUCUCUUUCUCCACCCUCUGUUCUCUUUAUGGGAUUGCUCCAAGUCCUCAAGGACGUCAAGAAAGGACACUGAUAAUGUAGGGAGGCGGUGCGGCGGAUGGGUGGGGCACCUGCGUCAUUCCUGCGCUAUUCCGGAGCUGGUGAAUUUUAUGGCAUCGGACGCCAUUAAGGUACACCACCCAAGUCUUAUCUGCCCCGCCUGAUCACGAGCAAGUCUGCCCACCCUCGGAUGGCUCCUCCCUGAGUCCAGAUGACAGAGAGUCCAGCACUUAAAGUAAUGUAAAUAACCAGAGAGGAGAGCUAUUUUAAGAUGCCAUCAUUCACUGUGGACAAGGAGGGGAACAAAGAUGCAAGCCAAGCGAUUGUAAUUUCAGUCACGUUUUUGGACGUUUUCUUGUUCCUCAGUCUGCCAUCCAGCUAGCUGAAGGGCCUAACAAACAACAACACGUCUGGAGAAGCAAAUUCAUGUUCAGCCUGUCCCUGCAUGAAAGAAAGUCUACAUGUCAAAAUAACUGACAGCGGGGGGGUCGCAAGUGGUUAGCUCGCCAGAAUAUAAGGAAAUGAUUACAAUUGGCUGUAAUACUCUAAAAUAACAGAAGAAAUAGAUAUCUGAGGCUUUUUCUGGUCUUUGUUCCUUCUUUUUGUAAAUUAUAGGUUAUUUUUUUCUAAUUUAGUGUGAGUGAAUAAUAACCCUUUUGGUUGAACCCCUGCAAUAUGAGUCACAGCAAUCACAUGCCAUUAAGGUUGGAAACCACUACCAUAAAACCCCCACAACAAGACCUCAUCCCUGAAAGCUCACGGUUCUCUGUGCGUUUCGUUCCCAACUGAAUAAAACAGAGAAAGCAGCUAAAAGAAAUAUAUAAAGAAAUAUAGAAAUGGACGUGCUUAAUGGAAAUAUGACAACUUCAAAUUUUCAGUAUUAAAGAUCAUUAAA